UGAGCCGUGAAGGUAGAGAAGGUACCCCAAA
This 31-nucleotide non-coding RNA is filed under the name Rattus norvegicus (Norway rat). The record is from RNAcentral. Lineage: Eukaryota; Metazoa; Chordata; Mammalia; Rodentia; Muridae.